This 465-nucleotide ribosomal RNA is filed under the name Vreelandella stevensii. RNAcentral describes it as "partial 16S ribosomal RNA". It matches the Rfam family "Bacterial small subunit ribosomal RNA", at positions 338 to 795 of the family's 1533-position model. The record is from RNAcentral. Lineage: Bacteria; Pseudomonadati; Pseudomonadota; Gammaproteobacteria; Oceanospirillales; Halomonadaceae.
CCUACGGGGGGCAGCAGUGGGGAAUAUUGGACAAUGGGCGAAAGCCUGAUCCAGCCAUGCCGCGUGUGUGAAGAAGGCCUUCGGGUUGUAAAGCACUUUCAGUGGGGAAGAAAGCCUUGGGGCUAAUACCCUCGAGGAAGGACAUCACCCACAGAAGAAGCACCGGCUAACUCCGUGCCAGCAGCCGCGGUAAUACGGAGGGUGCGAGCGUUAAUCGGAAUUACUGGGCGUAAAGCGCGCGUAGGCGGUCUGAUAAGCAGGUUGUGAAAGCCCCGGGCUCAACCUGGGAACGGCAUCCGGAACUGUCAGGCUAGAGUGCAGGAGAGGAAGGUAGAAUUCCCGGUGUAGCGGUGAAAUGCGUAGAGAUCGGGAGGAAUACCAGUGGCGAAGGCGGCCUUCUGGACUGACACUGACGCUGAGGUGCGAAAGCGUGGGUAGCAAACAGGAUUAGAUACCCGUGUAGUC